CCCUGAUUCCCUACUAUAGAAGAUUAUGUCUCAUUAAAAACCUUGUUAAGAAAACCCAGUGGGAAAAACUUAACGAAGGAAAAAAGAGUACAUAUCUUUUACAUAAAUAUCUUAAUUGACUGCCUCGUUAAAACCUUGUCAGGAAAAACCCAUUGGGAUAAAAACCGUGACUAAGGAAAAAGAGUACAGUCUUCCCCUCAAAAGGGAUUCAUUACUCCUUGAUGAAAUGUUGUCAUAAGUCUUUCAGUCGACACAUUCCGAUCCUUUUCCGAAGUUUUGCAAAAGUUGCAUUUGGU
This 296-nucleotide long non-coding RNA is filed under the name Panax ginseng (ginseng). Its description in RNAcentral is "long non-coding RNA (PGIN_LNC014785)". Lineage: Eukaryota; Viridiplantae; Streptophyta; Magnoliopsida; Apiales; Araliaceae. The record is from RNAcentral.